GGAGGGAUCAUUUAUACGGCUGCAUUAGCCAGGCGAUCUUCGGAUUGUCAUGCAGCCCUGACAUUGUCAGAACAGGUCAACAUCAGAAAUCUCCAUCUGGUGUUAAGACCUACUGGUAGGAGAAUGGAUGCUUUGCGAUGGAUGACUAGGGUCUUGUAUCGAUGAAGAACGCGGUUAAACGUGACAUUUAAUGUGACUUGCAACUCCCGUGAAUCAUCAAGAUUUUGAACACAUACGGAACUCUUGCUGCUUUCGAGUAGCAAGGGUACUUGCUUGUGAGUGUCAGUACCUCAUUCAUAUUAGCUCUGGGAGGUCUUUCAUCCAAUUGAGUUGGAUUUAAGAACCCUCGGCUAUCAUCAAUCUUAGGAUUGGGUACUAGAAGGAUCUUUGGUCUUUCAAAACUGAAUUUUCUGACCUCAUUUGUGAGUGGUUACCCACUGAAUUUAAGCAUAUUAGUAAGUGGAGGAAAAGAAAUCAAAAGAGAUUCUCCUAGUAGCGGCGAGCGAAAAGAGAAAAGCCCAUCCCUGAAUCCGAACAAUUGUUUGGAGUUGUAGGGUAAGAGUUGGUCGCCUGGAGGCAAAUAGAAGUAAAGUCUGUGCUUGGAAUGGCACGUCUCUUCGGAGGGCGAGACAGGGUGAUAGCCCCGUCAGCUUCUAUAAGUUUUCGAUCGGUGACCUUCUCAUGAGUAGGAUUCUUUGAAAGUAGAAUCUGAAUACGGGAGAUGAACUUCUUCUAAGGCUAAAUAUUAAUACAAGACACCGAUAGCAAACAAGUACCGAGAGGGAAAGUUGAAAAGAUUCCUGGUAAGGAGCUGAAAAAUGUCUGAAAUCGCUGAGCAAAAAGCGGAACCAACAAGUUCUAGGACUGUGGUCUUGUACAACCUGGAUUUAUCUUGGUGUACUCAAGGACUACUCAACCAACGCCAUGUCUUCUGGGCACGGUAAAAAAGCAGGUUCUUCGGUCUGAAGACUCCUGGUAAAUAUCCUUGAAGCUGAAGUCAGACACCUUGCCUCAGGCGGGGUAGACGGCUAAGGCCAUGGGGUAUUUAUCAGUAGUUCGAAAGCUAUGGCCCCUGCAAUCGUUGGUAAAGGACAUUGGAUCCGGCCCGUCUUGAAACACGGACCAAGGAGUUUGACAUAAUAGCGAGCAGUGGUGAUUUGAAAUCAUGUAUGCGUAAUGAAUGUGAUAUGUAUUAGCCUCGGCGACGUACAAGCCAAUCCAGUAGACUUCGGUCUUGGAAUUGCGUUCUAGUUAUUAUGUUAAGACCCGAAAGAUGGUGAUCUAUACUUGAACAGAUUGAAGCCAGGGUAACCUCUGGUGGAGGAUCUUGUAACGAUGUUGACGUGCAAAUCGCUCGUCGCACUUGAGUAUUGGAGCGAAAGACUCAUCGAACCAUCAGGUAGCUGGUUCCUUC
Molecule: unclassified non-coding RNA, 1414 nt
Filed under: uncultured fungus
Lineage: Eukaryota; Fungi
Description: sequence contains 18S rRNA gene, ITS1, 5.8S rRNA gene, ITS2, 28S rRNA gene
Rfam family: Eukaryotic large subunit ribosomal RNA (bases 412-1414)
Source: RNAcentral